RNAcentral lists this ribosomal RNA (66 nucleotides) under Cantharellus himalayensis. RNAcentral describes it as "partial 28S ribosomal RNA". Lineage: Eukaryota; Fungi; Basidiomycota; Agaricomycetes; Cantharellales; Hydnaceae. The record is from RNAcentral.
UACCUCAGGUCAGAGAAGACUACCCGCUGGACUUAAGCAUAUCAAUAAGCGGAGGAAAUCGGAUCC